UACGGGGGGGGCAAGCGUUGUUCGGAAUUACUGGGCGUAAAGGGCUCGUAGGCGGCCAACUAAGUCGGAUGUGAAAUCCCCAGGCUUAACCUGGGAACUGCAUCCGAUACUGGAUGGCUUGAAUCCGGGAGAGGGAUGCAGAAUUCCAGGUGUAGCGGUGAAAUGCGUAGAUAUCUGGAGGAACACCGAUGGCGAAGGCAGCACUCUGGGCCGGUACUGACGCUGAGGAGCGAAAGCGUGGGGAGCGAACAGG
RNAcentral lists this ribosomal RNA (253 nucleotides) under uncultured bacterium. RNAcentral describes it as "partial 16S ribosomal RNA". It matches the Rfam family "Bacterial small subunit ribosomal RNA", at positions 524 to 776 of the family's 1533-position model. The record is from RNAcentral.